AUGGGCAGACUCACAUUCUCAUUCCUGCUGCUGCUGCCUGUCCCUGCAUAUGUCCUAUCUCAGGUUACUCUGAAAGAGUCUGGCCCUGGGAUAUUGCAGCCAUCACAGACUCUCAGCCUGGCCUGUACUUUCUCUGGGAUUUCACUGAGUACUUCUGGUAUGGGUUUGAGCUGGCUUCGUAAGCCCUCAGGGAAGGCUUUAGAGUGGCUGGCAAGCAUUUGGAAUAAUGAUAACUACUACAACCCAUCUUUGAGGAGCCGACUCACAAUCUCCAAGGAGAUCUCCAACAACCAAGUAUUCCUUAAACUCACCAGUGUGGACACUGCAGAUUCUGCCACAUACUACUGUGCUUGGAGAGAUCACAGUGGUGCAACCGUGGCCUAG
Molecule: non-coding RNA, 384 nt
Organism: Mus caroli (Ryukyu mouse)
Lineage: Eukaryota; Metazoa; Chordata; Mammalia; Rodentia; Muridae
Source: the annotation of a RefSeq genome assembly